Molecule: non-coding RNA, 10335 nt
Organism: Oryctolagus cuniculus (rabbit)
Lineage: Eukaryota; Metazoa; Chordata; Mammalia; Lagomorpha; Leporidae
Source: RefSeq, a predicted model, not a curated record
GGGCGCAGUGGGCGGGGGAAGUUCCGAGGGCCGGAGCUGCGCUCUGGUGGGGUGGGCGGUCCCGCCUGGGCCGGGUGGUGUGGGCAGGAGGUUAGUGCCUGGGAGGAGCGUGGGGUGCGAGAUGGGUCACUACGACUGAGAACUGGUUCCCGUGUUUUUCUAGGGCAUGUAGACUAGGGAUGGGUACUUGAGCGCGAGCCAGAACUUGAGCGUCUGUGCAGGUGUUACCUGCCGCGAGUCCCGCGGCUUGCCCGGGGGUUCAGGCAGAGCGUGCGCGCUGCGGCGCUCUGGACCGAGGGUGGCCAAGUUAGCCCUCCUUAAACUGCACAAGCCCCGGGCCUCUUUAUUCACCGACAGUCUGGGGACUGGGGGCCCCGGGGGGAGGGGGGUCCAGUGCUUAUUGAUGUCAAAACCUGCCUUUUUCCUUACCGCUGUCAUGACCUGACAACUUCCUUAAUAGGGCGCAGUAGUUUGGUAAAUGGUGUUAAAUGCAAUGUUAGCGAUCUGCUCUAACCUGCCAAGUGGAUCAUUGUAGCAUUCCCUGAACGUGGUCGGUUUUCAAGGCCAAGCUUACCGUUUCUAACAGCUUGCUGUGUAUUUGGAAGGAUUUUUUUUUUUUUUGGUUUUUGGCUUUUGUUUUCUGCUUUUUGUCGUUGUGUAAUCAAAACCUCCGGUUUGAGUCACCUGCUUUGCUUUUUGAUCUAUUAAGAAUUGGACUUCCUGGCAUCCCUACUUGCCCAGUUGCUGUUAUAGUUGAGUUUCCAACUGCAAGAGAAUAUCUGUGUUCCUACCAAGGCUUGUGCUCUUCCAGUUCUGUGCAUUUGGAAGCUGCGACUUGUAUCCAAUUUUGUAGCAAACUUAAGUAAACUGAAAUAUGCUUGUUUGUUGACUGACUGUAAGGUUGACCUUUCCUUAAAUUAAUCCUGAUGACCGAAUUUAUGGCUGCUACUUUAAGUGCAUACUUAUUUGAAAUACCCCCUUGGAUAUAACUAUAUUUUCUUGUUUGGUUUUUUAUAUUAGCUUAUCAAAACAGGAACCCAACCAGUAUGUUACUUGAGGAAAUAUCUGUGUAAAUAAUGAAGCUAAAAAUAGGUCAAGACAGGGGUUAAGAAGGUAAAAUUGUGAGGGACACUGACGUUGGUAUGGAUAGGAGUUUAUAAUCUGUAUGCUAAUUUAACCUCCAUUUCCAUAUUCAUUAGAAUGGUAACAGGCAUUACUAUGGUAACAGCCAAUUUUUUUAUUGAUUGCCCUGCAAUAUAAGAAUAUAUGCUCUAGAGCUCUUGGUUUGGAUCCCAACUCUGCCACUUUAAUCGUUGUGUUAUGUGUCUUUUAAGGCAAAGGUUUGACUGUACCUAAAGCAAUUGAUCUGUAAAAUGGAGACAGUAAUAAUACUUCCUCCGUGGGAUACUAUGAAAUUUGAAUGCAUGAAUACAUAUUUGAAAGCCCUAACAGCAGUGCAGAACAGCCAUUCAACAUUUGUUCACUGUUAUUAUUGUGAGCAUUAAGGCCAAAGUUAUACUAUACAUCUUCCUUUAUUCAAUAUACAGGCUCCUGAAAAAAAUAAAUAGAUGCGUUUGUAGUGAAUCAUAUUUUAAAACUAGCCAGGGGGCAGUGUUGUGGCACAGAGGUUUAAGCUGCUGCCUGCAGUGCCAGCAUGCUCUAUCAGAUUACCAGUUCCAGUCCCAGAUGCUGGGCCUCAGACCCUGCUUCCUGCUAAUGCACCUGGGAAGGUAGCAGAUGAUGGCCCAAAUGCUUGUGCUCCUGCUACCCACAUGGGAGACCCAAUUGGUGUUCCUGGCUCCUGCCUUCCAUCUGGCCUACACCUGGCCAUUGGAGCUAUUUGGCAAGUAAACCAGCAGAUGGAAGAUAGAGGUGUAUGUGUGUGGGUGUGUGUGUGUGUGUGUGUGUGUGUGUCUCCUUCUCCCUCUCUCUCUUUCUUCUUUCUUUUUUUUUCUCUCUCUGUCAGUCUACCUUUCAAAUAAAUAAAUCUCAAAAAUAAAACUAAGGCAGUCUCCAACAUUUGGAAUUCACAAAACCAGUAAGAUAUUUUUCGAUAAUCUGGGAAUCAGUAUAAAGUUGGCAACUUUUCUUUUGGUAAGUGAGGGUAUUAAAAUGUAUUUUAACCUCAGAAAUCGGGAAGGUCAAUUUUUGAAAAAAGGACAGUUCUUGAAAUUGAUUAAUUAAGGCUUGUGAUAAACAAUGCAUUGCAAUGAUUUUUUUAAACCUCUCUGUGAACCUGAUAAAACAUCAUAGGCCAGCACUUAGGAACUCACUGCAUUAUAUUUUUGGUAAUUGUAAAGCAUAUAAUCAAUCUUUCAUUUGUUUUGUGAACCCAGAUUUUCAUAUAUUGGUGUUGCUUAAGCAAAAUUUUUCUGCAUUUAAAGGAAUCACCAUCAAUUUUGAUUUCCUUUAGGAUUUUAAUCACCAAGAACCAGAAAAAAAUCUUCAAAAUGAAUUUGUUCUGUGAAUUUAAGAAGUACUUGGAGCACCCAUGUCCUAUACUGGAGCGAUCCACUUCUGGCCCACCUUCAGAUUCUACCUUCCUGAUAAUGCAAACUGAGAGGCAAAAAAGAAUUUCCUCUUCUUGGUACUGUUGCAACAAUAACUGCAUCAAGAAGCCUCCGGGGGACAAUCAAGACUGUAUUGCUUUCACUCAUGACAAGUAAAGUGCAGGCUGAAAGUUUUAACUCCUCAGCUCUCUGUCUUUGUGAAGGAAGUGAAUUUUGGAACUGAAAUAAAGCAUGAUAUCAAAAAUCUCUAGAAGCCCGUGCACUAGCUGGCUCUACGGACUUGAACUCCCCAGGUUAUCUAUUCUCCCAGGAAGACUCAGGAGCAGCAAGGCUCCCAGGAACAACUGUAAAGAAGACAUAGUAAUGGCAUGUAGCUCUAAAGACAGAUCAUCAUCUCUCUACCCCCUCUGGACUUUUGGGACUAAUGUAAUGCCAUACCACUCCUGCUUUAUAAAAAAACAAAAGGGGGGAAUGUUAGGAAACUGGCACAGUUUUAUCUAUGGCACGUUACAUCCCAAGCUCUAGCCCCUGCCACCAUUGCUGGAAGCCAGGUGGCCACAUGGCCCAACCUCCGUGGUCAAGCUCCACCCCCAUCCUAAUGGGAUUCACUGCUCCUGCUUCCCUGGCCGCACUCAGGCAAAGUUUUAAAAGGGCCUGUUCUUGAACACGUGGCUCUCUUGCCUCCUCUCUCUUGGCUCUCUCUCUUGGCUCUUUCUUGGCUCCUCUCCUCUCGUCUCCUCUCUCCUCUCUGUCUCUCCUCUUACAGUCUCCUCUCUUUUUCCCUCUUUGCCCCUUCCCUCCAGUCUACUGAGUUUUCCCCAAUAAACCCUUUUCCUUAAAAAAAGAAGACAUAGUAAUGGGACUUCAGCCUUGAUGUUCAAGUUAGGUCAAAAUCUGCAAUAAACUUUAAAUUGCUAAAUCACCCUCACGGUGCUUAAACUAAGAUUUGGCUCCACCAUGAUUCCAGUAUGAAAACUAAUACAAUUAUUUCAAGACAAAACAAUGAAUGAGCUUUUGAAUGCAGAAAGGAAGAUAUCCUAUCGCUUCUCAUGAGCAUUCUAUUUUUAUUAAAGAAAUUCGGGUAUUUAUUUGUUUAUUUUAUUUGACAGAGAGAGAGAGAGAGAGUGAGAUUGUUCUCUCAAUCACUGGUUCACUCCCCAAAUGCCUGCAACAGCUAGGCCUGAAUUAAGCUGAAGCCAAGAGCUAAGAAUUCAAUAUUGGUCUCCCACAUGAACGAUAGGACCCAAUUAUCUGAGCCACCAUCAGCUGUCUCCCAGGAUGUGCACCAGCAAGAAGCUGGAUUUGAUAGUAGAGGUGGAACCAGAACCUCCAAUACAGAAAGUGGGCACUCCAGAAAGUGCCUAAAGCACUGUAUCAAAUAUGCACCCCUCAUAGUCAUUUGUAUAUUAUGUUCUCUUUUUCUAAAAUACCAAAAUUAUAAACUUCAUAUUUAUGAAUUAUAUGGAUUUCGAUUCAUCAUCAUUUGUACUCCUACAUUCCUUUUCCCACCUUGAUGACGAUUUUGCCAUGUACAGAAAGCAGCAACACUGAAUCUUAUAUCAUCUUAUAUAUUAUAUCAUCAAUAUAACAUAUAUAUAACACAUAUAUAAUCUUAUAUCAUCACAAUAACAGAAAAUUUACAAGUCUGAUGUCCAUGCUAAGCACAGAAAAUUAAAUUUUCCUUGAAGAUAUGAUCAAAACUAUGGUGCUAUAUUAUUGGAAGUACUUUUGAUGACUACUGAUAACAAGGCCAUUCUUCCUGUAACUGCAUCCAUGCAUGUAAGAGUUAUGGGAAUCGUCUAUGUGGCUUUGGUUUGAUCAGUUGUUCACUACUUGUUUUGGGGGAAUUUACGCAGUCACCACCCAGUGUUAUACUAAUCAGUGCUAUAUGGUAACAAGAGACAAAGGGCAGAGAUAGGCAACUAUCCCAAAAUAAGUAAAUAGAAGAAAUAUAUAUGGCUUCUUAGAACAAGACAGCUGACUCUCUUCUAUAUCAAAAUCUGAUACUCUUUGAACUCAAAGAAUAUUAACAGCUACAAUAUGACUAUAUCAAAGCAAUUAGUAGGUGAACAACUGAAUAAAUACAUUAAAUUAGAUGACUAUUAACAAUUAUGGUUGCCCAUGAAAAUUAUAGUGCAUCUGAAUCAGCUAAAUUACUUUCCACAGCAAGUAACUGAAAACCCAACUCCAUUUGGCAUAAGCGACAUCCAAUCAAUUAUUUCACACAACGUGAAGUUCAGAAUUAGGACAACUUUGAGGUUGUUACAUUGGACUCUACCCAAAUUUGUGGCUAUCUUCUUGGCCCUAAUCUUCUCCUUGGGCUGGUGACAAGGUGGCUACAAUCAUUAGAGGUUAUCAGAGACUCAAAGCAGCCCAGAGCAGAGGAAGAAGAGAGAAUGUCUCUUUCUUUUGGGUCUGUGUUAAGACCUAGUAAACUGUUUCUAGAGGAAAUCCCAGGAGAUGCUUUCUCAUAGUUCAUUGGCCAAGGCUAAUUUACAUGCUGAAUUAACCCAUGCAAUGCUGAGAGGAAUGAGCAUGGUUAAUACACCAUUGGAAUAGAUCUUGUGAGUUAUAAGAUCUUAUUACAACUUAUUAUCACAGACUACAGUUAUUUAUCUCUGAUGAGAUUUUAUGUGGAAAUCAAUCUUGAGGGUAAAUGGAGAGCAAGUGUGUGUGUGUGUGUAAUGGAGAGUUUGGCUAAUGAAGAGGCAUGAUCUCUGCUGAAAGGAUAGGACUCAUACACAGAUAACAUGAUCACAGAGAAGUACUGCACAGAAAGAUGAAGUUUAUCACAAAAGGACGCCAUGAGCAUGUACAUUUACACAAACAGCUGUACUCUAAGAGAUUGUGUAGGCUUCCCUUUCAGAGGCAUUUAUUCCUGGUUAUCUGCUUUUAUGUGAGCUAUUGACUAGGGAACCUACAAUUCAAUGAGGAUAAAGUGGUUGUUCACAAAGUAAGAUGUGACAGAUGAAGAAGAGAUCACUUUAUCCUACAAAACUCUUUCCUGUAAAAACAAAGCAAAUAAUAUGCAUAAAAUCACAGAGCGACCAAAUCACCCAUAUGCUUAUGUGGGCUGCUUAGUUCAUGAGAUAUAAUGUGAGAGACCCUGAGCCGUGUCUCCUAACCUCACAGGACUCCUCUCUAUGGCCUGACAUCGGCAAUUCUACACUGGGAUGAAGUAGGAAGAUCUUUUUAAGUUUUUGUUUGUUUGUUUUUAGCAGAUGCUUUUGAAGAAGACCACUGACACUUUGCAUUAAUUAUUACAUUGUACAUACUAAGUACACCUGGAAACAAUAAAAUUGCUUAGGUAGGUGGAAUCUUUUAAAAGGGAAAAGCAACCUAUUUAUCAUUUUGCCCAGACUUCCAAUGAGACAGACAUAGCCAUAUAAAACACAAAGGAAAAUGGCUUGACACAGAGAUUCAAGUGCAUGCCCUGCUUGUGCCAACACGUGAGGAGGAAACUGCACACAUAAGAAUCUCAAGGAAGAGAGGCCUGCAUGGCCCUCUGAGAGCUGCCCUUCUCCUAGCGUGGUUGCAAGAGGGAAUUCUGGAAUUUUGCUCUGCACUCUACUUUCUGCAUGUUGUUGAGAGGUUGGCAGCUACAGAGGAAAUCAAGCCAUUUCCCAAGAAUGGAGUAUGAUCUAGAGUUCAUUGUAGAGUCUCCUAAGUGAGUGGGUGGGUAUGCAAGAACUUAGUAUUGGAAUGUUAAGCUCAGAAAAAUGUCUAUACUUGAUCGCUGCAAAAUGUUCGUUAAUCAUUCUGGAACCCUUCAAACCUUAAUCCAAUCUUCCCUAUUCAAUGGCAAAAGUAUAUGUGUUCUCCAAAGUUGUGAAGAGAAACUUCCCUUUGGGAACAUAAAUUAGUAUUUCAGGUCAGAUACACUUUUAAUUCCCGUUUUGGAUGGUACUCACUAACUUGCUAAAAGUGAGAAAACAUUUCUAUCGCAAUUUCUGAUAUUUUCCUUUAGGCACACUUUUGCAAGGGAGGGAGUUCUACCAUUGUUUAAACACCUACUGCAUGCCUGUUUGUCCACUCAGCUUUGCUCAUUUCUUCCCCAUACAACCUGCGUGAUUGAGUAUGAGCAGCAUUGUGAUAAAGAGCACUGGGUCCAACCCCAGACUCUGUACUAACAAGCACAAUGACCCUGAAUACUUCUGUAUAAAGGAGCAUGGUAACAGUAUCUACCUGAGGAAGUGGUUGUAAGAAUUAUAUUAGAUGGGGCCGGUGCUGUGGCAUAGUGGGUAAAGCCGCUGCUUGCAGUGCCAGCAUCCCAUAUGGGUGCCUGUCCGAGUCCUGGUUGCUCCACUUCUGAUCCAGCUCUCUGCUAUGGCCUGGGAAAGCAGUAGAAGAUGGCCCAAGUCCUUGGGCCCCUGCACCUGUGUGAGAGACCCAGAAGAAGCUCCUGACACCUGGCUUCGGAUCAGCACAGCUCCAGCUGUUGUGACCAAUUGGGGAGUGAACCAGAGGAUGGAAGACACCUCUCUCUAUCUGCCUCUCCUUCUCUCUCUGUGUAACUCUGACUUUCAAAUAAAUAAAUAAAUUUUUAAUAAAAAGAGAGAAUUAUAUUAGCUUUAGGGGACAAUAGCUCAGCACCUUAUCAAUAAUGAGCACUUAGUAACUGGAUGCUCUUGCUUCAUUGUCGUCCUCAUUUUACAGGUAAGAAAAUCGUAUCUCAGAGAGCUUGGUAACUUGUCAUAUCUGAGAAAUGUUAAGUAUCUUUCUGAAGGUCACAAUGUAACUAAAUCAUGAGACAGUGAUAAAAUCCUUUUAUUUAUCUAAUUUCGGGUUUGUCCAAUUCUAAAGUUUGUCUAUUUCCUCACUAUUUCAUGUCUCUGUUGAAUAAUCUACUUCAGACACUCUAUUCCAAUUGCAAAGAAUAAUGGAAUGAUGCUUUUAAGAACUGGGGAUCAAUUUUUUUUUAUCAACCUAAGAGUUCUGCACAAAAGCACUCCCUGGGUAUUGCUGUGACACCAACAAAUGGAGAAUCUGUGCCCAAGACUCUAACAAACUAUUUUGUAACUUUUAGUGAUAGGUUGAAAAUCUAAUAAUACUUAGUGAGGUAAAGAAAUUUGCCAGGAUUGAAUACCUAGCAGGUGGCAGAGCCCUGACUGGAAGUGUGCAUGGCCCUCACCAUACUCCUGACUGCCCUGCUGGGCCAUCCUCUUGUUUUGAUAAAGUUUUCUAUGUGUCCAGAAUGAAUUUUGUACAAUAUAAAGGGAAACCUUCAGCGACUGGAUCCUAAGACUCAGGCUCUAUUUUCUGUGCUUUUGUGAAAUAAAUGACAUGAGAAGAAACAUGUGGAACCAAAGAAACAACACAUGAAACCAAACCAAGCUAGCAAAUGAACCAGACAAGCUUGUGGAUCUGUUUUGGAACAGGGAGAGAGUCAUAUAGUCAACCCAUUCUCAUGCCAUCUACAGCUUCUGUAUUUCUAUGUUACUAUGACUUUAUUCCUGGAGACUAUGUCUAUGUAUUUUAAGACAUAAAUUAGCUAGGACAGAUUUAGUUUUCCUGAGUAAGUUCUUAUUAUGUCAUAGAAGAAAACAUAAAAUUUCAGUAGAUGUUUUGAAACAAAAAGUUCUUAAUUCACCAGAAACCUUAGAUAUACUUAAGUGUUCCAGCUAUGAUUAAUGAUGCUUUUCAAUAACUACAAUUGGAAUUCUUUUUAUUAUGGUUUAUUAUUUUAUGGAUUUAGUAUAUCAUGGGUCAAAUUUCAUGUGCCCAAAUAGAACAAACUCCAAAGAGAAACCAACUAUGAGGUAAGGUUAUCUAUCUUUCAACACUAGGAUUUUAAAGGCAUGAUUAUGCAGCAUUUACAGCAAAUACAAUUGGUGAUUAAAUUUUGAAUACUUAAAUAAUUCCAAAACUUAAAAAAAUAUGAUUUUACUGUGUACUAAAUUUUAUCUCAAAAGAUUAAAAAAAAAGGAGCCACAAAUUGUGAGCUCUAAUAAUAAGCAGCUAACAUGUUCAGAUAAUUUCAAAUAAUUGGAAAGGGCAUUUAAAAAAACAUUGGGGGCCAGUGCUGUGGAGUACCAGGUUAAGCUGCCACUUACAAUGCCAGCAUUCCAUAUGUGCACUGGUUCAAGUCUCGGCUGGCCCACUUCUGAUUCAGCUCCAUGCUAAUGUGCUUGGGAAAACAGCCAAACUUGGCUCAAGUGCUUGGGCCCCUCCAUCCAUGUGAGAGGCCAAAAGAAGCUCCUGGCUCCAAGCUUUGGUUUGGUUCAGCUCCAGCCAUUGUGGCUACUUGAAAGUGAACCAGCAGGUGAAGAUCUCUCUCUGCCUCUACUUCUCUCUCUCUCUCUCUGUAACUGUGCCUUUCAAAUAAAAUAAAUAAAUCUUUUUAAAAAAACAUCGUUAAGUGGAUAUAGGGUUUGGGGCAUAGACAGAUAUAUGAUAAUUAUUCAUGUAGUAAAAUAUUAAUGCAGAACUGAGAUGGUGUGUAUAUAAAUGAACACUGUACAGUUCCUUCAAUUUACAGAAAUUUGAAAAUUUUUGACUCAUGUUGGGACAAAUACGAAUGCAUGGAUUAAAUUAUUUGCAGUCAGAUUUAUUUAAAAGAAAACUCCAGAAUAUACUUAUAGUAUAGGAAAUAUAGCAGUAAGUGAAGCUGGUGCAAGAAAAUAUAGAAUAAGGGACCAGCACUGUGGCAUUGUGGGCUAGGCCUCCACCUGAGGCUCAGGCAUCCCAUAUGGAUGCAGGUUCGAGUCCUGGCUGCUCCACUUCUGAUCCAGCUCUCUGCUAUGGCCUGGGAAAGCAGCAGAAGAUGGCUCAGGUAUUGGGCCCCUGCACCCAUGUGGGAGACCUAGAAAAAGCUCCUGGCUCCUGGCUUCAAAUUGGCUUAGCUCUAGCUGUUGUGGCCAUUUGGGGAGUGAACCAGAAGAUGGAAGACUUCUAUCUCUCUACCUCCAUGCGAUUCUCUGCCUUUCAAAUAAAUAAAUUAAAAAAAGAAAAAGAAAAAGAAGAAAGAAAAUGUAGAAUUAGUAAAGGCAUCAGUUGCAAUUUAUCUAGUGCCCAAGAACUGUACACAGCGCUUAAUAGCGUUAUCUAAUUUAAUUAAGGACUCAUAAGUAUCAUUUGAAGUGUGGACUUUUUUCCUUCUUUUACAGGUUAGGAAACAAGUGUAAGAAGGUUGCAUAACUUUCAGGAGAGUGUGCAUUAAGAAGCACAGCUGAGAGUGAAACUGUAUGAGUUUGCAGUCAGUGCUGUAAGCCACUGCAUACCAAGGAAGGGAAAUCUGAAUUGGAGCUCUUUAGAGGUUUCCUAGUUCAAUUUUUUCACCCCUCCUUACAAAUGACACAAAGGUUUAGUAGCACCAGAAUCCCAAAAUUUCUAUUCUUUGAUCAAGAUUUUUCCCACUUAUCAUGAGUGCACUUGUUUUACAAAAUGGAAUCACUACAGGAUUCCUUUAAAUAACAAAUUUUCACAAUACGGUAUAACUAUAAUUUGAUAUACUAUAAUUUGAUCUACACACUUUCUUUCAGGUGUCAAAUAUGUCAUAAAUAUGGGCACCCUGAUGUUAUAAACAGUGUGUCCAAACUGUAGCAUUAGCUUGAGCUUUUGCAUGUACUCAAAUUGUGUACAUUUCCCCAAUGGGAAAAAUGCAGGAAAUUCUGAAAUACAUAUGUAUUGCACGCACUGGAGUGAAAAUACUAUAAUUCCAAUAAUUCUGGAAAUUUUUUCACAGCUCAAUUUCAACCCCAAAGAUUUUCUGGGGAUUGUGUUUUUUGAAUUUCAGCAGUGGCUGAUUUACACGGUGCAAAUCACCUUUUAAAAAGCAUAAACAGAAGAAAGAGAUGUUGUGCGUUAAGAAGGGCAAGUUUAUGAC